CGGGGGGAGCAAGCGUUGUUCGGAUUUACUGGGCGUAAAGGGCGCGUAGGCGGCCACCGCAAGUCGACUGUGAAAUCUCCGGGCUUAACCCGGAAAGGUCAGCCGAUACUGCGGGGCUAGAGUGCAGAAGGGGCAACUGGAAUUCUCGGUGUAGCGGUGAAAUGCGUAGAUAUCGAGAGGAACACCUGCGGCGAAGGCGGGUUGCUGGGCUGACACUGACGCUGAGGCGCGAAAGCUAGGGGAGCGAACGGGAUUAGAUACCCCGGUAGUCCUAGCCUUAAACGAUGAAUGCUUGGUGUCUGGGGUUUUAUAGGUCCCCGGGUGCCGUCGCUAACGCUUUAAGCAUUCCGCCUGGGGAGUACGGUCGCAAGACUGA
Molecule: ribosomal RNA, 376 nt
Filed under: uncultured organism
Description: bacterial SSU rRNA
Rfam family: Bacterial small subunit ribosomal RNA
Source: RNAcentral